Molecule: ribosomal RNA, 557 nt
Filed under: uncultured bacterium
Lineage: Bacteria
Description: bacterial SSU rRNA
Rfam family: Bacterial small subunit ribosomal RNA
Source: RNAcentral
ACGGGUGAGUAACGCGUGGGAACGUGCCUUCUGGUUCGGAAUAACUCAGGGAAACUUGAGCUAAUACCGGAUACGCCCUUUUGGGGGAAGGUUUACUGCCGGAAGAUCGGCCCGCGUCUGAUUAGCUAGUUGGUGGGGUAACGGCCUACCAAGGCGACGAUCAGUAGCUGGUCUGAGAGGAUGAUCAGCCACACUGGGACUGAGACACGGCCCAGACUCCUACGGGAGGCAGCAGUGGGGAAUAUUGGACAAUGGGCGCAAGCCUGAUCCAGCCAUGCCGCGUGAGUGAUGAAGGCCUUAGGGUUGUAAAGCUCUUUUAUCCGGGACGAUAAUGACGGUACCGGAGGAAUAAGCCCCGGCUAACUUCGUGCCAGCAGCCGCGGUAAUACGAAGGGGGCUAGCGUUGCUCGGAAUCACUGGGCGUAAAGGGCGCGUAGGCGGUCUUUUAAGUCGGGGGUGAAAGCCUGUGGCUCAACCACAGAAUUGCCUUCGAUACUGGGAGACUUGAGUUCGGAAGAGGUUGGUGGAACUGCGAGUGUAGAGGUGAAAUUCGUAGA